This 302-nucleotide ribosomal RNA is filed under the name uncultured Sphingobacteriales bacterium. Its description in RNAcentral is "bacterial SSU rRNA". It matches the Rfam family "Bacterial small subunit ribosomal RNA", at positions 1084 to 1382 of the family's 1533-position model. The record is from RNAcentral. Lineage: Bacteria; Pseudomonadati; Bacteroidota; Sphingobacteriia; Sphingobacteriales.
UCCCACUAACGAGCGCAACCCUUACCGUUAGUUACCAGUCAGGUUAAGCGUGGGGACUCUAGACGGGACUGCCACCGUAAGGUGAGAGGAAGGUGGGGAUGACGUCAAAUCAGCACGGCCCUUAUGUCCAGGGCUACACACGUGUUACAAUGGCCGGUACAAAGGGCAGCUACUUCGCGAGAAGAUGCUAAUCUCGAAAGCCGGUCUCAGUUCGGAUCGAAGUCUGCAACCCGACUUCGUGAAGCUGGAUUCGCUAGUAAUCGCGCAUCAGCCAUGGCGCGGUGAAUACGUUCCCGGGCCUU